RNAcentral lists this ribosomal RNA (324 nucleotides) under uncultured bacterium. Its description in RNAcentral is "bacterial SSU rRNA". It matches the Rfam family "Bacterial small subunit ribosomal RNA", at positions 30 to 355 of the family's 1533-position model. The record is from RNAcentral.
AUUGAACGCUAGCGGGAUGCCUUACACAUGCAAGUCGAACGGCAGCGCGGACUUCGGUCUGGCGGCGAGUGGCGAACGGGUGAGUAAUGUAUCGGAACGUGCCCAGUAGCGGGGGAUAACUACUCGAAAGAGUAGCUAAUACCGCAUACGCCCUACGGGGAAAGGGGGGAGUCGCAAGACCUCUCACUAUUGGAGCGGCCGAUAUCGGAUUAGCUAGUUGGUGAGGUAAAGGCUCACCAAGGCGACGAUCCGUAGCUGGUUUGAGAGGACGACCAGCCACACUGGGACUGAGACACGGCCCAGACUCCUACGGGAGGCAGCAGU